UUCGGUCAGGCUAAACAAACUUCAUUUAUGAUUCCUAUUGAAGAUCUUUGUGUUUACUACUAAGCAUGUUUAAUCACUUGCCUAAAUAUUUUGGAAAGCAUAGCAAGAAUGGAAAUGUAUUCAGUAGUAAGACCUAAUUUAGUUGUGUUGGUUUACAGUUUCCACUUUCCAGGAUAAACUUUUGUGUGAACUUUGGCCCACCUUGGUCUAGUUGCAUUGCAUACGGUAAAGGGAACUCAUCUACCUAAGCUUGACCAGCUUAAAAUUGCAAGAAAAAGCUUGUUAAUCCGGAACAUGAUAGUGAAUUAGAUUCAAGUCAGGUUUCAUUACUGUACCACUCUUUGCCAUGGAAUGAUUAACCAUGGUGCCAUGUUCUAAUCUUUGAUGUAAACAAGUUAACCAGAGACCCAUUUCAUGGGUUGUUUCCCUUGCACAUGCGCCAUUUCCCAAAUGGCUGCAAGUCUCGUGUCUGCAUCAUGCCACCCAAUCUGGUGCUCUGAUCAGAUCAUUGAUUCCUUUCAA
Brachypodium distachyon (stiff brome) is the source of this 522-nucleotide long non-coding RNA. RefSeq lists it as uncharacterized. The record is from RefSeq and is a predicted model, not a curated record. Lineage: Eukaryota; Viridiplantae; Streptophyta; Magnoliopsida; Poales; Poaceae. The transcript has 2 exons.